RNAcentral lists this non-coding RNA (274 nucleotides) under Solanum lycopersicum (tomato). RNAcentral's name for it is "Bacterial small subunit ribosomal RNA". It matches the Rfam family "Bacterial small subunit ribosomal RNA", at positions 940 to 1143 of the family's 1533-position model. The record is from Rfam by way of RNAcentral. Lineage: Eukaryota; Viridiplantae; Streptophyta; Magnoliopsida; Solanales; Solanaceae.
UGUGGUUUAAUUCGAUACAACACGCAAAACCUUACAAGCCCUUGACAUAUGAACAAGAAAACCUGUCCUUAACGGGAUGGUACUCACUUUCAUACAGGUGCUGCAUAGCUGUCGUCAGCUCGUGUCAUGAGAUGUUUGGUCAAGUCCUAUAACGAGCGAAACCCUCGUUUUGUGUUGUUUCUAGUAAAUGUUUUCUUCCAACUAAACACAUCACAUAUUCAUAUUAUUAGACAUUAGUUAAUUUGAUUAUUCAUCAUACUUUAGUCUAUGCACG